This 3090-nucleotide long non-coding RNA is filed under the name Trifolium pratense (red clover). RNAcentral's name for it is "long non-coding RNA (TPRA_LNC006718)". Lineage: Eukaryota; Viridiplantae; Streptophyta; Magnoliopsida; Fabales; Fabaceae. The record is from RNAcentral.
CAAUAUACAAAAAAAAAUGCAAUGUACAUACUUUAAUAGUACACGAUACAAUAGAAAUUGAGAUAAAUAUAUCAUGAAUAUACAAUAGAAAUUGUGUCUAUCCUAGUUGCACUCAGGCUUUAGCUAAUCUUCCACAAACUCUAGAGUUUCCUUGUAGUUGGAGAACUGGUACAAUAUCAAGCUCGUGUUGAGCUUUUCUGCUUGUAUAUGGCACAUUAUGUGCACUAAUUACUUGGUAUUGGAUAUAAAGUCCUGACCUAUUUAAUCUCAUGCUUCAUGUGUUACCUAAAAUUNNNNNNNNNNNNNNNNNNNNNNNNNNNNNNNNNNNNNNNNNNNNNNNNNNNNNNUUGCUCACCUAAAAUCACUCUUUAAGGUCGCAGUCCCGUUGUCGAGAUGAACUAAAUAAUAAAUUUCAAGCUUGAUAUUGAAAGCUACUCCCAUAUUUCCCUUCAGCGUGUAUACACUUUAACCAAUAGAUCUUGAAAGACAUCAACAACUGUUGAACCUCGCAAUACAACAUUGUGAAAUCAAAGAGUACACACAUUAAAUUAUGGAGACUUUAAGUAACUAAAAAAUCUAAUAUGCCUCUUUGGAAUAUUGGCAGGAUCUUCCUUUAUAACCUUCGCCUAUGAAAUAAUCAUCUAUUUUGUACCCCCCCAUUGCAUUGCAUUACACUGUCCACUAUACCAUAUUUAAAAAAAUAGAAUUUAAAAUAUUUGAUCGGAUACAUCAAAUAUGGAAGUCUCCACUUUGAAUUUGGUGCCUCUGGCAGCUUGAACUUGAAGGUGUGCCAUGUGUUACCUGCAAUGAUGUGUCCAUUUACAAACAUAGUUAGCCACAACUCUCAACCUCACCAUUGAAAGUUAAAAUGUUUAUUAAAGUUAAAAGUUAAAAUGUUUAAUCAAGAAACAUACAUACAUGCUUAUUAUAGUUGCAGCCACAUGAUUAUGUGGUUAAAAAUUAUGCAGGCUGGAUCUUGGAGUUAUAACAGAACUGAAAAGUGGUUCCAAGUGCUCUUUAAUUUGUAAAAACAUUUUCAAAGUUAAUUCAAGAAUAUUACUUUCAUCAAAGAGAAUGAAACAAUGGUAACACUUUCUCAGCCCUGUCAUAAACAAUCCAGUUUAGAAUACAAUCUAAAAGGCUCAUUGACAUUAUGUAAGUGCUCACAUCCAAAUCCAUCAAAUUUCAUUCAAGCACUUUCCACAUUUUCAUUUACUGUUGCCCAAUUUAUGAUCUUUUUUUUCAUAUCAGAAAACUGAUAAUUGAAUGCCCAAUAAUUUCAAGAAACUAAAAAUUAGGUAAAUAAUCUUUUUACUUGAUAAUAGAUUAGGGAAAUCUCCGAAUAAUGUAGAGAAGUUCAAAAAACCAUUCCAGGAUCAACAAAAAUGAACUUAGAAAAGAGGACUCGCCCAUUUAAGAACCACCAAAAUCAUUACCAAAUCCUCAUUUACAAAUUAAGACAUCGGCAACUGCAACAUACAGAGCAACAUAGCAUCAAUGAGAUUGGUAGCAGAAUCAAAUCAAACAAAUAAAGAACCAUAGAAAGCUUAAUAAUCACUAUAUAAGCACUUUGGCUUUUAUGUUCCAACACUAUUUACUUGAUUGCUUGCAAAGUGAAGUCUUUCUUUUAAGUGAGGCCUUAAAUAUUCAAAGUGAAAAAAUCAUUCAUAAAUUUAUAAGAAAGCGAAAGUUAUAGAAAUAUUCAUAAACUAAAAAAUAAUAUAAGAAUUAGUUUUUGCAUCAAUCAACAUUUCAUAUAAUAUAUAUGCAUAAAUUGUGAUCCAAUGAAUCACCAAUAAAAAUCACAAUGCAACUUCGUAAAAGUAAUCAACAGUUACAACAUAACUACAUGUCUUUUCUCAAUGCAUAUUUAUCUCAUGAAUGACCAUUAACUUAAACAGAAUAAAAAAUCACAACUUUGAUUUAUAGUUAAAUAGUUAAAUUCAUAUGAAUGAAAGAUCUAUAUAAUUGAUGUACGAUAAGAAACUAAUAGAAGUUGGAAUCAGCAUGUUUCUUUCAAUGUGGUCAUGUUAUAAGUAGGUAAUUACCUUGAUUAAAAACUAUACCAUAAACAGAUUAGUGGAAAGUACACACACUUCUUUGAUAUAACUUUUUUAAGCUUGUGUAUUAAAAUAAUGAACAAAGUGAAAGCAUUAGACACUUCCAUCUGCACAUGAAUUAGAAGCAUUUCAGAGGCAAAGGUUUCAAAAUAAAUAAGGAACCAUAAAUAUAUUAUAAGCAUAAGUCUAUAACCUUACUUUUGAGAAGCAUGCAAUUCCUCAAAAUUAGGACCUCGAGCAAAUUUCUACCAAUGCAGCUGCCAAGUUUCCUGAGAGAAGAAUUCAACUAACAAAUUUAGGACCAGUAUAAGAAAGAAACACACUACUAUAAGAACUCAGCAGACCACCUCUAAAAGAAGCUUCAUGUAAAUAACAAAUCAAAAUAAGAAAAACAUAUAGUAGUUAUCAAACUCUAAUUCUAAAACAAAAAAGUAAAGCCAAAGAAAUACAAAAUUAGGGAUUAGAAAUACAAAUGAAAUAAAAUAGAUGGCUAUUAAAAAUUAGGUAUUUUGAAAAAGAAAGAGUAUACCCAGAAUCAAACAAUAACAUUGUCGUCGUUGGGCCGUGUGCUCUGCUUCAUCGAUCUUUGUCGUCGUUGGGUUUGUGAACCUGAACAAACAAUAACAUUCCCAAAAAAAAAAUUAAAAAUCAGAAUAUGAAAUUAAAUCAUGAAAUAAGGAAGGGAUUGAGAAGCAAGUUAAAACCUUUCUUAUUGACAAAGCUGAAGAAGCAUAUACCCAAAAUUUGAGGAAAAAAGUUGACAACAUAGAAAACCAUAUCAAAAACACGACAAAGAUAAACGUUGUUUUUGAAAAAUUUUGGAGGGGUUUUUGAAAUUUGAAAGCAUGAUGCAUUAGUCAAAGUUUGCAGAGAACACUUAGUUUUUCACCAAAAUGGAAGUUUUUGUUGAAGAUGGAGAGAAAGAAGACAUCAACAAAGCAGAAAGGGAAGAGAAAGAUUCUUUCCUUUUUCUUUUUUUAAAUUUUUUUUCUUUCUUUUUUCUGUUAUAUUGAAUUUUAAAAUUUGCAAA